Molecule: ribosomal RNA, 867 nt
Filed under: uncultured bacterium
Lineage: Bacteria
Description: bacterial SSU rRNA
Rfam family: Bacterial small subunit ribosomal RNA
Source: RNAcentral
GGAGUUUGAUCAUGGCUCAGAUUGAACGCUGGCGGCAUGCCUUACACAUGCAAGUCGAACGGCAGCACGGGAGCAAUCCUGGUGGCGAGUGGCGAACGGGUGAGUAAUGUAUCGGAACGUACCUUUCAGUGGGGGAUAACGUAGCGAAAGUUACGCUAAUACCGCAUAUUCUCUCCGGAGGAAAGCAGGGGACCGCAAGGCCUUGCGCUCUUUGAGCGGCCGAUAUCAGAUUAGCUAGUUGGUGGGGUAAAAGCUCACCAAGGCGACGAUCUGUAGCGGGUCUGAGAGGAUGAUCCGCCACACUGGAACUGAGACACGGUCCAGACUCCUACGGGAGGCAGCAGUGGGGAAUUUUGGACAAUGGGGGCAACCCUGAUCCAGCCAUGCCGCGUGAGUGAAGAAGGCCUUCGGGUUGUAAAGCUCUUUCAGCCGGGAAGAAAACGCAUCCUCUAAUACAGGGUGUGGAUGACGGUACCGGAAUAAGAAGCACCGGCUAACUACGUGCCAGCAGCCGCGGUAAUACGUAGGGUGCGAGCGUUAAUCGGAAUUGCUGGGCGUAAAGCGUGCGCAGGCGGUUUGUUAAGACAGGCGUGAAAUCCCCGGGCUCAACCUGGGAACUGCGCUUGUGACUGGCAAGCUAGAGUAUGGCCGAGGGGGGGUGGAAUUCCACGUGUAGCAGUGAAAUGCGUAGAGAUGUGGAGGAACACCGAUGGCGAAGGCAGCCCCCUGGGCCAAUACUGACGCUCAUGCACGAAAGCGUGGGGAGCAAACAGGAUUAGAUACCCUGGUAGUCCACGCCCUAAACGAUGUCAACUAGUUGUCGGGUCUUCAUUGACUUGGUAACGAGGCUAACGCGUGAAGUUGACC